This 369-nucleotide ribosomal RNA is filed under the name uncultured phototrophic eukaryote. Its description in RNAcentral is "SSU rRNA". It matches the Rfam family "Bacterial small subunit ribosomal RNA", at positions 524 to 896 of the family's 1533-position model. The record is from RNAcentral.
UACGGGGGAUGCAAGCGUUAUCCGGAAUCAUUGGGCGUAAAGCGCCUGUAGGUUGUUUAAUAAGUCUGUUGUUAAAGACUGGGGCUUAACCCCAGGAAAGCAAUGGAAACUACUAGACUUGAGUAUGGCAGGGGUAGAGGGAAUUUCUAGUGUAGCGGUGAAAUGCGUAGAUAUUAGAAAGAACACCGGUGGCGAAGGCGCUCUACUGGACCAUUACUGACACUCAGAGGCGAAAGCUAGGGUAGCAAAAGGGAUUAGAUACCCCUGUAGUCCUAGCCGUAAACGAUGGAUACUAGAUGUUGUAUUUAUUUUACAGUGUCUUAGCUAACGCGUUAAGUAUCCCGCCUGGGGAGUACGCUCGCAAGGGUG